UGGGGAAUCUUCCGCAAUGGACGAAAGUCUGACGGAGCAACGCCGCGUGAGUGAUGACGGCCUUCGGGUUGUAAAGCUCUGUUAAUCGGGACGAAUGGUUCUUGUGCAAAUAGUGCGAGGAUUGACGGUACCGGAAUAGAAAGCCACGGCUAACUACGUGCCAGCAGCCGCGGUAAUACGUAGGUGGCAAGCGUUGUCCGGAAUUAUUGGGCGUAAAGCGCGCGCAGGCGGAUUGGUCAGUCUGUCUUAAAAGUUCGGGGCUUAACCCCGUGAUGGGAUGGAAACUGCCAAUCUAGAGUAUCGGAGAGGAAAGUGGAAUUCCUAGUGUAGCGGUGAAAUGCGUAGAUAUUAGGAAGAACACCAGUGGCGAAGGCGACUUUCUGGACGAAAACUGACGCUGAGGCGCGAAAGCCAGGGGAGCGAACGGGAUUAGAUACCCCGGUAGUCCUGGCCGUAAACGAUGGGUACUAGGUGUAGGAGGUAUCGACCCCUUCUGUGCCGGAGUUAACGCAAUAAGUACCCCGCCUGGGGAGUACGACGGCAAGGUUG
This 549-nucleotide ribosomal RNA is filed under the name uncultured bacterium. RNAcentral's name for it is "bacterial SSU rRNA". It matches the Rfam family "Bacterial small subunit ribosomal RNA", at positions 355 to 896 of the family's 1533-position model. The record is from RNAcentral.